Molecule: long non-coding RNA, 569 nt
Organism: Oryctolagus cuniculus (rabbit)
Lineage: Eukaryota; Metazoa; Chordata; Mammalia; Lagomorpha; Leporidae
Source: RefSeq, a predicted model, not a curated record
CGCUGGGCGGGGAAGAGGGGGCAGCGCUGGAGGGGAGACCGUCCCAGCUCAAGGCCUGCGGGCCAGGGAGGGGGCGAGAGACCUGGGCCCCGCGACCCAGAUCCAGCAUCCAGGGCCCCUCUGGGAUGGUAUAAACUUACUCAGAUCCAAAUACAGCCUAGUAUGCUGCCCUGCGUUCCUGAGGACCGUUUUCCACAUGAACAGUCUUAUGGAUGCACAAAUUUCCACUCAAGCCAGUGUCAAGUUCUCAUUGCAAGAAAGUAGCAGCAGUGUUUAAGGUGACUGCAACAACCAGGGCUGGGGCAGAAGCCUAGAACUCCAUCAUCUGGGUUUCCUACAUGAAUACCAGGGGCCCAAGUACUUGGGCCAUUCUGCUGCUGUUUACAGAGGUACAUUAGCAUUCUGUUCACUUAGUAUAUCUAUCACAGAAGGGAUUUUAUUUAUUCUUCCCAUGCAGGCCACUGAGAUUUAACCACAUCAGUGCAGUAUGUCCUAUCUUAUAAGGAGAGUCAGCAUUUUUUCAUAUGAAGAAAUAUCCAGAGCUUCCUUGAAUUUUAUGUUCGCAUAUU